This 1374-nucleotide ribosomal RNA is filed under the name uncultured prokaryote. Its description in RNAcentral is "partial 16S ribosomal RNA". It matches the Rfam family "Bacterial small subunit ribosomal RNA", at positions 27 to 1392 of the family's 1533-position model. The record is from RNAcentral.
GAUUGAACGCUGGCGGCAUGCCUAACACAUGCAAGUCGAACGGUAACAGAACUAGCUUGCUAGUUGCUGACGAGUGGCGGACGGGUGAGUAAUGUAUAGGUACUUGCCUAGUAGUGGGGGACAACGUGUGGAAACGCACGCUAAUACCGCAUACGCUCUACGGAGGAAAGUGGGGGAUCUUCGGACCUCACGCUACUAGAUAGGCCUAUAUUGGAUUAGCUAGUUGGUAAGGUAAGGGCUUACCAAGGCGACGAUCCAUAGCUGGUUUGAGAGAAUGAUCAGCCACACUGGGACUGAGACACGGCCCAGACUCCUACGGGAGGCAGCAGUGGGGAAUAUUGCACAAUGGAGGAAACUCUGAUGCAGCAAUGCCGCGUGUGUGAAGAAGGCCUUAGGGUUGUAAAGCACUUUCAGACGUGAGGAAAAGUAGACUAUUAAUACUAGUUUGCCCUGACGUUAACGUCAGAAGAAGCACCGGCAAACUCCGUGCUAGCAGCUGCGGUAAUACGGAGGGUGCGAGCGUUAAUCGGAAUUACUGGGCGUAAAGCGCGCGUAGGCGGCCUGAUAAGUUGGAUGUGAAAGCCCUGGGCUCAACCUAGGAACUGCAUUCAAAACUGUCAGGCUAGAGUAUGGUAGAGGAUAGUGGAAUUUCCGGUGUAGCGGUGAAAUGCGUAGAGAUCGGAAGGAAUAUUAGUGGUGAAGGCGGCUAUCUGGACCAAUACUGACGCUGAGGUGCGAAAGCGUGGGGAGUAAACAGGAUUAGAUAUCCUGGUAGUCCACGCCGUAAACGAUGUCAACUAGCCGUUGGGGGGCUUGUCCCUUUAGUGGCGCAGCUAACGCGAUAAGUUGACCGCCUGGGGAGUACGGCCGCAAGGUUAAAACUCAAAUGAAUUGACGGGGGCCCGCACAAGCGGUGGAGCAUGUGGUUUAAUUCGAUGCAAUGCGAAGAACCUUACCAGGUCUUGACAUCCCGAGAAUUUACUAGAGAUAGUUUAGUGCCUUCGGGAACUCGGUGACAGGUGCUGCAUGGCUGUCGUCAGCUCGUGUCGUGAGAUGUUGGGUUAAGUCCCGUAACGAGCGCAACCCUUGUCCUUAGUUGCCAGCACGUAAUGGUGGGAACUCUAAGGAGACUGCCGGUGACAAACCGGAGGAAGGUGGGGACGACGUCAAGUCAUCAUGGCCCUUACGACCUGGGCUACACACGUGCUACAAUGGUCGGUACAGAGGGUUGCCAAGCCGUAAGGAGGAGCUAAUCUCAGAAAAUUAUUCGUAGUCCGGAUUGGAGUCUGCAACUCGACUCCAUGAAGUCGGAAUCGCUAGUAAUCGCGAAUCAGCAUGUCGCGGUGAAUACGUUCCCGGGCCUUGUACACACCG